GAUGAACGCUGGCGGCGUGCCUAAUACAUGCAAGUCGAACGAACAGACGAGGCGCUUGCUCCUCUGACGUUAGCGGCGGGCGGGUGAAUAACACGUGUAUAACCUACCUAUAAGACUGGGAUAACUUCGGAAAACCGGAGCUAAUCCCGGAUAACAUGUUGCACCGCAUGGGUUAACGGUAAAAUACGGUCUUGCUGUCACUUCUCGCUGGUUCCGCGCCGCAUUAGCUAGUUGUUAAGGUAACGGCUUACUAAGGCAACGAUGCGUAGCCGACCUGAGAGGGUGAUCGGCCACACUGGAAGGGAGACAGGGACCAGAGGCCUAAGGGAGGCAGCAGAAGGCAAUCUUUCGCAAUGGGCGAAAGCAUGACGGAGCAAGGCCGCGUGAGUGAAGAAGGCCUUCGGAUCGUAAAAAUCUGUUACUAGGGAAGAACAAAUGUGUAAGGAACUAUGCACGUAUUGACGGUACCGAAUCAGAAAGCAACGGCUAACUACGUG
This 497-nucleotide ribosomal RNA is filed under the name uncultured bacterium. RNAcentral describes it as "partial 16S ribosomal RNA". It matches the Rfam family "Bacterial small subunit ribosomal RNA", at positions 28 to 507 of the family's 1533-position model. The record is from RNAcentral.